RNAcentral lists this ribosomal RNA (460 nucleotides) under uncultured bacterium. RNAcentral describes it as "partial 16S ribosomal RNA". It matches the Rfam family "Bacterial small subunit ribosomal RNA", at positions 338 to 795 of the family's 1533-position model. The record is from RNAcentral.
CCUACGGGUGGCAGCAGUGAGGAAUAUUGGUCAAUGGGCUUACGCCUGAACCAGCCAAGUCGCGUGAGGGAAGACUGCCCUCUGGGUUGUAAACCUCUUUUGUCAGGGAGCAAAGCCGGCUACGUGUAGCCGGACUGAGAGUACCUGAAGAGAAAGCAUCGGCUAACUCCGUGCCAGCAGCCGCGGUAAUACGGUGGAUGCGAGCGUUAUCCGGAUUUAUUGGGUUUAAAGGGUGCGUAGGCGGAAUGCCAAGUCAGCGGUAAAGUCGCGGGGCUCAACCUCCCUCUGCUGUUGAAACUGGCGGUCUUGAGUGGGCGAGAGGUGUGCGGAAUGCGUGGUGGAGCGGUGAAAUGCAUAGAUAUCACGCAGAACUCCGAUUGCGAAGGCAGCAUACCGGCGCCCAACUGACGCUGAAGCACGAAAGCGUGGGUAGCGAACAGGAUUAGAUACCCCGGUAGUC